UAUAUAUAUAUAUAUAUGAAAGUCCUUUGAUGGACUUAUAAUACGUUGGAUGCACCGAUUAUAGGGUUGGUGAUAGUCGAAUAUUACCAAAAAUAAAAUACUAAGCAAUUCUUUUUCAUGUUAUGGAGAAAAUCGACUUAAAUCGUGUAUAUAACCUCUAAAGAUAUGUUGAUUAUAAACUAAGAAAGAGAGGGUCGGGCGCGUGAGAUCUCUCCUCUCUCCUCCUUUUUCUUCUUCUAAUCACAACUCCGUGCACCGUGUGAAGGGUCUUCUUCGGCGAUUCCGGCCUUGUUGAGGAUCCUAUGGUCCAUGGUACUUACCGGGGAGAUAAACAAAUCGGUAAGAGCUAUGUCGCUGGUGUGGCUUUGUGGUUAGAAGAAGGAAGUCUUCAGUAAGGAACGAGAAAGAAACGGCGGUUAGAUCUAGACGACUGGAGACGCGGGAGGUUUUGUCACGGCCGACGGUUAGACGGGGGAGGUUUUCAGUUGGAAAGGCAAAGCUAAGCCACCGUUGAUGGUUAUCAAGAUCUACUCCCAACUGCUUUAUCUCUAUUAUGACUGAACUGUGGCUUUCGAAUUGUGUAUCGGUUUCUUCUUCCUUCUCUACUCAACUCUACGGUGGCUGGAUGGUGACGGCCCUGUGUCGCCUACUCCGUUGACUCCCGUCUUCCUGGCUCGUCGGAGGUCCUGAUCCGGCGAGUAUCCGCUGCUAAGUGGGAAGGCGGCUCUGUUCGGGUUCUCCAAUCAAAGAUUAGGGUUUCUGGUUUAAUUCGGUUAGCUACUGAUUUAGAUUUUAAAAACCUGAAUCGAUUUUGGUUUGGUUAGCUAGUUGGUUUGGUGUAAUUGGACUGGGCCCUAAAGGGAUUAAUGUAUGGGCCUAUUACAAAAAUAGUCCAUUGAAUAUAUGUUUUAAUAAAUUGCAAGGCUUUUACAAAAAAAAAAAAAUGCUGAUUAGCUUUCUUAAAACAAUUACUCCAACUUUGAUUUAAAGUUUUUUAUCUUCCCAGAAAAAAAUAUAAUAUAAAAAUCUUAUUAUUAUUUAUCAGUUUUCCUGACGCUCCUAUAUUAUAACUAAAU
This 1076-nucleotide long non-coding RNA is filed under the name Capsella rubella. RNAcentral describes it as "long non-coding RNA (CRUB_LNC004254)". The record is from RNAcentral. Lineage: Eukaryota; Viridiplantae; Streptophyta; Magnoliopsida; Brassicales; Brassicaceae.